GACGAACGCUGGCGGCGUGCUUUCCUUUGCAAGUCGAACGAUGAAGUUCCUUCGGGAAUGGAUUAGUGGCGAACGGGUGAGGAACACGUGAGAAACCUGCCUUUCAUUCUGGAAUAACACCGGGAAACCGGUGCUAAUACCGGAUACUCCGUCUUGGCGGCAUCGCCGAGCCGGGAAAAAAUUUUGAUGAAAGAUGGUCUCGCGGCCUAUCAGCUAUUUGGUGAGGUAAUGGCUCACCAAGGCGACGACGGGUAGCCGGCCUGAGAGGGCGACCGGCCACACUGGGACUGAGACACGGCCCAGACUCCUACGGGAGGCAGCAGUAGGGAAUAUUGGUCAUUGGGCGCAAGCCUGACCCAGCGACGCCGCGUGAGGGAUGAAGGUCUUCGGAUUGUAAACCUCUUUCAGUAGGGAAGAAGCGAAAGUGACGGUACCUAAAGAAGAAGCACCGGCUAACUAUGUG
This 463-nucleotide ribosomal RNA is filed under the name uncultured bacterium. RNAcentral's name for it is "bacterial SSU rRNA". It matches the Rfam family "Bacterial small subunit ribosomal RNA", at positions 28 to 507 of the family's 1533-position model. The record is from RNAcentral.